Molecule: ribosomal RNA, 857 nt
Filed under: uncultured bacterium
Lineage: Bacteria
Description: bacterial SSU rRNA
Rfam family: Bacterial small subunit ribosomal RNA
Source: RNAcentral
AGAGUUUGAUCCUGGCUCAGGAUGAACGCUGGCGGCGUGCCUAAUACAUGCAAGUCGAGCGAACAGACGAGGAGCUUGCUCCUUUGAUGUUAGCGGCGGACGGGUGAGUAACACGUAGGUAACCUACCUAUAAGACUGGGAUAACUUCGGGAAACCGGAGCUAAUACCGGAUAAUAUUUCGAACCGCAUGGUUCGAUAGUGAAAGAUGGCUUUGCUAUCACUUAUAGAUGGACCUGCGCCGUAUUAGCUAGUUGGUAAGGUAACGGCUUACCAAGGCAACGAUACGUAGCCGACCUGAGAGGGUGAUCGGCCACACUGGAACUGAGACACGGCCCAGACUCCUACGGGAGGCAGCAGUAGGGAAUCUUCCGCAAUGGGCGAAAGCCUGACGGAGCAACGCCGUGUGAGUGAUGAAGGUCUUCGGAUCGUAAAACUCUGUUAUUAGGGAAGAACAAACGUGUAAGUAACUGUGCACGUCUUGACGGUACCUAAUCAGAAAGCCACGGCUAACUACGUGCCAGCAGCCGCGGUAAUACGUAGGUGGCAAGCGUUAUCCGGAAUUAUUGGGCGUAAAGCGCGCGUAGGCGGUUUUUUAAGUCUGAUGUGAAAGCCCACGGCUCAACCGUGGAGGGUCAUUGGAAACUGGAAAACUUGAGUGCAGAAGAGGAAAGUGGAUUUCCAUGUGUAGCGGUGAAAAUGCGCAGAGAUAUGGAGGAACACCAGUGGCGAGGCGACUUUCUGGUCUGUAACUGACGCUGAUGUGCGAAAGCGUGGGGAUCAACAGGAUUAGAUACCCUGGUAGUCCACCGCCGUAAACGAUGAGUGCUAAGUUGUUAGGGGGGUCUCCCGCCCCCUUA